CCUACGGGAGGCAGCAGUGGGGAAUAUUGCACAACGGGGGGAACCCUGAUGCAGCGACGCCGCGUGGGUGAAGGAGUAUUUCGGUAUGUAAAGCCCUAUCAGCAGGGAAGAAAAAUGACGGUACCUGACUAAGAAGCACCGGCUAACUACGUGCCAGCAGCCGCGGUAAGACGUAGGGUGCAAGCGUUAUCCGGAUUUACUGGGUGUAAAGGGAGCGCAGGCGGCGCGUUAAGCCUGGGGUGAAAGCCAGCGGCCAAACCGCGGGACUGCAUUGGGAACUGGCGCGCUGGAGUGCCGGAGGGGUAGGCGGAAGUCCUAGUGUAGCGGUGAAAUGCGUAGAUAUUAGGAGGACCACCAGUGGCGAAGGCGGCCUACUGGACGGUGACUGACGCUGAGGCUCGAAAGCGUGGGGAGCAAACAGGAUUAGAUACCCUAGUAGUC
RNAcentral lists this ribosomal RNA (441 nucleotides) under uncultured bacterium. RNAcentral describes it as "partial 16S ribosomal RNA". It matches the Rfam family "Bacterial small subunit ribosomal RNA", at positions 338 to 795 of the family's 1533-position model. The record is from RNAcentral.